AGUGAACGCUGGCGGUAGGCCUAACACAUGCAAGUCGAACGGCAGCACAGAGGAGCUUGCUCCUUGGGUGGCGAGUGGCGGACGGGUGAGGAAUACAUCGGAAUCUACUCUGUCGUGGGGGAUAACGUAGGGAAACUUACGCUAAUACUGCAUACGACCUACGGGUGAAAGCAGGGGACCUUCGGGCCUUGCGCGAGUGACUGAGCCGAUGUCGGAUUAGCUAGUUGGCGGGGUAAAGGCCUACCAAGGCGACGAUCCGUAGCUGGGCUGAGAGGAUGAUCAGCCACACUGGAACUGAGACACGGUCCAGACUCCUACGGGAGGCAGCAGUGGGGAAUAUUGGACAAUGGGCGCAAGCCUGAUCCAGCCAUACCGCGUGGGUGAAGAAGGCCUUCGGGUUGUAAAGCCCUUUUGUUGGGAAAGAAAUCCAGCUGGCUAAUACCCGGUUGGGAUGACGGUACCCAAAGAAUAAGCACCGGCUAACUUCGUGCCAGCAGCCGCCGUAA
This 506-nucleotide ribosomal RNA is filed under the name uncultured bacterium. RNAcentral's name for it is "partial 16S ribosomal RNA". It matches the Rfam family "Bacterial small subunit ribosomal RNA", at positions 29 to 523 of the family's 1533-position model. The record is from RNAcentral.